GUAAAAACCCUGAGGCACCUCAAAUUCUCCAAAACUGCUGCUAACUGGAAACAUCAUUGGCACAAGUUUUGUCUACUCAUGAGUGCAAAUAGAGCUUCUGGAAAGGAAGACAUGUAAAAGAUGGGUUUCCAUCUUUACUUACCAGCUUAAUUUCACUGAGGGAACUUCUGUUGAAUGAUCAAAUUGAAAGCUUCUUAAAUGCCCAGGUAAAGUAUAUUGACCAGACACUCAACACAGCAUCCUUACUGAUGUCUUCAAAGAACUUAAGUAGACUUGUGGUGAUUACUUUUCUCCAACAUAUU
RNAcentral lists this long non-coding RNA (302 nucleotides) under Phasianus colchicus (ring-necked pheasant). Its description in RNAcentral is "lncRNA (ENSPCLG00000001134.1)". Lineage: Eukaryota; Metazoa; Chordata; Aves; Galliformes; Phasianidae. The record is from RNAcentral.